CUCGUGGGAAGUCCUCGUGUUGCACCCC
RNAcentral lists this ribosomal RNA (28 nucleotides) under Platanus gentryi. The record is from RNAcentral. Lineage: Eukaryota; Viridiplantae; Streptophyta; Magnoliopsida; Proteales; Platanaceae.